UCCUCCAUCAACCUGCUUCUGUACACUUUCUAGAAGCCCUGGCGGCUGUUCUUUGCCUACUGACCUCACGGGAGCAUCUUCCCACCCAGUUUCCAAGAGAGAGGUGGAGAAUUUUGUUCUCUCUUCCAGACAACAGGAUGGGUGCUGAUGCCCUGGGUUCCACACUGAGAGGUUCAGGCUGAGGGGUCGUGCCCAAGUGACCCAGACCCCAGAAGCACCAGGUCCUCCCUCAGAUCCUGGGGACACAGACACACCCCACCCAGGAUAAGAAGCUUAUGGAAUCUUCCUGACGGGAGAGAGUAUGGAUGUGAGAGUUGGACCAUAAAGAAAGCUGAGCACUGAAGAAUUGAUGGUUUUGAACUGCGGUGUUGGAGAAGACUCUUGAGAGUCCCUUGAACUGCAAGAAGAUCAAACCAAUCAAUCCUAAAGGAAAUAAGCCUUGAAUAUUCAUUGGAAGGACUGAUGCUGAAGCUCCAAUACUUUGGCCACCUGAUGUAAAGAACUGACCUAUUGGAAAAGACCCUGAUGCUGGGAAAGAUUGAAGGUGGGAGGAGAAGGGGAUGACAGAGGAUGUGAUGACAGAGGUUGGAUGGCAUCACCGACUCAAUGGACAUGAGCUUGAGCAAGCUCUGGGAGUUGGUGAUGGACAGGGAAGCCUGACAUCCUGCAGUCCAUGGGGUCGCAAAGAGUUGGACACAACUGAGAGACUGAACUGAAAAGAUAUAUAUAUAUAUAUACAAGCAUCAAUAUAGUGGACCAAGGAUUCACCCCAAGACUCCUGGUACCUGCUGUACAUGUUGGCCAGUCCUGCAACUCCACUGGGGGGACUGGAAUACAAAAGUAGGAAGUCAAGAGAUACCUGGAGUAACAGGCAAAUUUGGCCUUGGAGCACAAAAUGAAGCAGGGCAAAGGCUAAUAGAGUUCUGCUAAGAGAAUACACUGGUCAUAGCAAACACAACACAAGAGAAAACUCUACACUUGGAUACCACCAGAUGAUCAAUACCGAGAUCAGAUUGAUUACAUUCUUUGCAGCCAAAGAUGGAGAAGCUCUAAAUAGACAGCAAAAACAAGACUGGGAGCUGACUGUGGCUCAGAUCAUGAACUCCUUAUUGCCAAAUUCAGACUUAAAUUGAAGAAAGUAGAGAAAACCAUUCACAUAUGACCUAAAUCAAAUCCCUUACGAUUAUACAGUAGAAGUGACAAACAGAUUCAAGGUAUUAGAUCUGAUAGACAGAGUGCCUGAAGAACUAUGGAAAGAGGUUCAUGACAUUGUACAGGAGGUAGUGAUCAAGACCACCCCAAGAAAAUGAAAUGCAAAAAGGCAAAAUGGCUGUCUGAGGAGGCCUUACAAAUAGCUGUGAAAAGAAGAGAAGCUAAAGGCAAAGGAGAAAAGAAAACAUAUACCCAUUUGAAUGCAGAGUUCCAAAGAAUAGCAAGGAGAGAUAAGAAAGCCUUCUUUAGCGAUCAAUGCAAAGAAAUAGAGGAAAACAAUAGAAUGGGAAUGACUAGAGAUCUCUUCAAGAAAAUUAGAGAUACCAAGGGUACAUUUCAUGGAAAGAUAGGCACAAUAAAGGACAGGAAUAGUAUGGACCUAACAGCAAUAGAAGAUAUUAAGAAGAGGUGGCAAGAAUACACGGAACUACGCAAAAAAGAUCUUGGUGACCCAGUUAACCACGAUUGUGUGAUCACUCACCUAGAGCCAGACAUCCUGGAAUGUGAAGUCAAGUAGGCUUUAAGAAGCAUCACUACAAAGCUAGUGGAGGUGAUGGAAUUUCAGUUGAGCUAUUUCAAAUCCUAAAAGAUGAUGCUGUGAAAGUGCUGCACUCAAUAUGUCAGCAAAUUUAGAAAACUCAGUAGUGGCCACAGGAAUGGAAAAAGUCACUUUUCAUUCUAAUCCCAAAGAAAGGCAAUGCCAAAGGAUGUUCAAACUACUGCACAAUUGCACUCAUCCCACACUAGCAAAGUAAACUUCAAUAGUACGUGAACUGGGAACUUCCAGAUGUUCAAGCUGGAUUUAGAAAAGGCAGAACAAGAGAUCAAAUUGCCAACAUCUGUUGGAUCACCAAAAAAGCAAAAGAGUUCCAGAAAAACAUCUACUUCUGCUUUAUUGACUAUGCCAAAACCUUUGACUGUGUGGAUCAUAACACACUGUGGGAAAUUCUUAAAGAGAUGGGAAUAUCAGACCACCUUACCUGCCUCCUGAGAAAUCUGUAUGCAAGUCAAGAAGCAACAGUUAGAACUGGACAUGGAAUAACAACUGGUUUUAAAUUGGGAAAGGAGCAUGUCAGGCUGUAUAUUUUCACCCUGUUUAUUUAAAUUAUAUGCAAAGUACAUCAUGCAAAAUGCCAGGCUGGAUGAAGCACAAGCUGGAAUCAAGAUUGCAGGAGAGAUAUCAAUAACCUCAGAUAUGCAGAUGAUACCACCCUUAUGGCAGAAAGCGAAGAAGAACUAGAGUAUCUUGAUGAAAGUGAAAGAGGCAAGUGAAAAGCCUGACUUAAAACUCAACAUUCAGAAAACUAAGAUCAUGGCAUCUGGUCACAUCACUUCAUGGCAAAUAAACGGGGAAACAAUGGAAACAGUGAAAGACUCUAUUUUUUGGGCUCCAAAAUUACUGCAGAUGGUGACUGAAGCCAUGAAAUUAAAAGACACUUGCUCCUUGGAAGAAAAGUCAUGACCAAACUAGACAGCAUAUUAAAAAGCAGAGACAUUACUUUGUCAACAAAAGUCUGUACAGUCAAAACUAUGAUUUUUCCUGUAGUCAUGUAUGGAUGUGAGAGUUGGACUAUGAAGAAAGCUGAGCACUGAAGAAUUGAUGCUUUUGAACUAUGGUGCUGGAGAAGACUCUUGAGAGUCCCUUGGACUGCAAGGAGAUCCAACCUGUCCAUCCUAAAGGAAAUCAUUCCUGAAUAUUCAUUGCAAGGACUGAUGCUGAAGCUGAAACUCUAAUACUUUGGCCACCUGAUGUGAAAAACUGACUCAUUUGGAAAGAUCGAGAUGCUGGGAAAAAUUGAAGGUGGGAGGAGAAGGGGACGACAAAGGAUGAGAUGGUUGGAUGGCAUCACUGACUCAAUGGACAUGAGUUUGAGUAAACUCUGGGAGCUGGUGAUGGACAGGGAAGCCUGGUGUGCUGCAGUCCAUGGGGUAGCAAAGAGUCGGACAUGACUGAACAACUGAACUAAACUGAAGAAAUUUAAGCCUGCCAUUUACUCUUUUCAAUAUAUUAGGGGCACUUAAUGACAGCCACCAAAAUCCAGUUUUUUAGUCACCAUUUCUUCUUUUGUAAAUGCCAAAGAAUAUCACCUACUGUAUGCCUUUUUGCCUUUAUCUCAUCCAGUUUCCUACAUGUGAAUGUUUAGCAACUGCAUUAUUAGAGCACACCAUGGACCAUCAAUGCACUAUCUGACAGGCUGUGAUCCAACUCCAGAGCCCAUUCUUAGCCUGCUUGCUCGGACCAUGAUCUUAAGUUGAGUUCCUUAGAAACAGACUCUGCGAUAAAGUCUCUUACUUAAGUAA
Molecule: long non-coding RNA, 3513 nt
Organism: Dama dama (fallow deer)
Lineage: Eukaryota; Metazoa; Chordata; Mammalia; Artiodactyla; Cervidae
Exons: 4
Source: RefSeq, a predicted model, not a curated record